UCCCUUAGUAGCGGCGAGCGAACAGGGAAGAGCCCAGCGCCGAAUUCCGCGUCUCAAAGGGCGUUUGGAACAUGUGGCGUUUAGGAGGAAUCUCUCCGAGGGCAGACGGUGUCGCAAGUCCCCCUGAACGGGGCUGUGAUCCAGAGCGGGUGCGAGGCCCAUAGCUGGUACCGUCUCCUUUGGGUGUCCCCUCCUUGGAGUCGGGUUGCUUGGGAGUGCAGCCCUAAUUGGGUGGUAAACUCCACCUAAGGCUAAAUACGUCCGUGAGACCGAUAGCAAACAAGUACCGUGAGGGAAAGUUGCAAAGAACUUUGAAGAGAGAGUUCAAGAGUACGUGAAACCGCUCAGAGGCAAACGGGUGGGCCCACGAAAGCCGAAGGCGGGGGGAUUCAGUCGAGAGGACGGUGGGGCAGGACUGGCUGGUUGGACGGACCGUGCCAGGCCGGGUCAGUUCCCGAGAUCUGCCGCCUUUCGACGCAUUUCCCCCUGCUUAGUAGGACGCCGCAACCGGUUGGCGCUGCAGCCAUAAGGGAGAGUAAAUGGAAGGUAGCCAGUGAGUUCUUCUUCGGAGGCGCGAGCUGGUCCUAAGCCGACUCUCCUGGUGCUUGUGGCCCGACCGUGGUCGUGAGUCCCUCAACGGGAUGUCGCCGAGCCCUCUGACUGGAGCGGGAGAAAUGGCAGGCUGCUUUCCGCGGAAAAAAUCGAUCGCUUCACGCGUGCAGUGGGCGAUCUCCGGAGGUAGCUGCUGGUGCGUUUUUCUCCUGCGCUGGGCACAGGCAGUUGGCGGCGAGUAGGUCGGUCACCCACCCGACCCGUCUUGAAACACGGACCAAGGAGUCUAACAUGUGCGCGAGUCAUUGGGUCUUGAACAAGCCCAAAGGCGCAAUGAAAGUGAAGACCAGCACUGAAGCUGGUGGAGUUGGGAAACUGUGUCACUGAAGAUGCAGUUGCACCAACGGCCCGUCCCGUCCGCAUCGUCGGUGGGGCGGAGCGAGAGCGUACACGUUGGGACCCGAAAGAUGGUGAACUAUGCCUGGGCAGGACGAAGCCAGAGGAAACUCUGGUGGAGGUCCG
Molecule: ribosomal RNA, 1074 nt
Filed under: Draculoides sp. SCH032
Lineage: Eukaryota; Metazoa; Arthropoda; Arachnida; Schizomida; Hubbardiidae
Also listed under: 3 other names
Description: partial large subunit ribosomal RNA
Rfam family: Eukaryotic large subunit ribosomal RNA
Source: RNAcentral